This 774-nucleotide ribosomal RNA is filed under the name uncultured Neocallimastigales. Its description in RNAcentral is "partial large subunit ribosomal RNA". It matches the Rfam family "Eukaryotic large subunit ribosomal RNA", at positions 23 to 638 of the family's 3401-position model. Lineage: Eukaryota; Fungi; Neocallimastigomycota; Neocallimastigomycetes; Neocallimastigales. The record is from RNAcentral.
GAGACUCUGUGCGCGUGCAUAUCAAUAAGCGGAGGAAAAGAAACUAACUAGGAUUCCCUCAGUAACGGCGAGUGAAGCGGGAAGAGCUCAAAUUUGAAAUCUUAAAGGGUUUCCCUUUACGAAUUGUAGUUUAAAGAAGUGUUUUCUGUUGGAGUUUCGGUAAAAGUUCUUUGGAAUAGGACAUCAUAGAGGGUGAGAAUCCCGUAUUUGACCGUUACUUUCCAGCUGUGUGAUACACUUUCAAAGAGUCGGAUUGUUUGGGAAUGCAGUCCAAGAUGGGUGGUAAAUUUCAUCUAAAGCUAAAUAUUGGCGAGAGACCGAUAGCGAACAAGUACCGUGAGGGAAAGAUGAAAAGAACUUUGAAAAGAGAGUUAAACAGUACGUGAGAUUGUCAAAAGGGAAGCGUUUGACACCAGUGUUGUUUAGUUGAAAAUCAAUUCAAUAAUUUUUGAUUCUGAGUAGUAUUGACUUCAUCAGCUUGCUGCUUUCUUCUCAGAAAUUAUUGAAUGCACUUUUCAGUUAACAAGUCAACAUCGAUUUCUUUUGUUGUAAAAGGUAAGAGGAAGGUGGCUUGCGCUUCGGCUCAAGUGUUUAUAGCCUUUUAUCUCUGCAAUCGGAGAGAUUGAGGUCUGCAGCGUAGAUCCUUCGGGGUUAGAUACAUUGGUGCUAAGCUAUAGCCUUGUAUAGACAACUUGUUGACUAUGCUCAGUCAUGUAGCUUACUCGCUGAUGCUAUUUUACCUACGCUUAGGAUGUUGACAGCAGUAUGGACUGU